CUCUAUUAUUCAGUGCAAAAUGGAGUGAAUUGUCUAUUCCAUUGCACUGAAUAGUGGGGCA
This 61-nucleotide microRNA precursor is filed under the name Ptychodera flava. RNAcentral describes it as "Pfl-Mir-4818-P4_pre stem-loop". Lineage: Eukaryota; Metazoa; Hemichordata; Enteropneusta; Ptychoderidae. The record is from RNAcentral.